AAAAUGCGUUUUUCCGAUUUUGGCCGAAAGUGCGGUUUUACCGGUUUGACCGAAAAGUGUGUUUUUAUGGAAAUAUGUGUUUUACGUUUUUUUGAGGAAAACGCAUUUUGCGGUUUUGGCGGGAAAUUGUGUUUUUCAGUUUUUGCGGGAAAAUGUAUUUUUCGGUUCUGCGGAAAAAUUUACUUGCAAAAAAUAGAAUUUACGGUUUGAAAAUAAUAUUUUGAUUUUAAAAGGUCAUUUUUGUCAUAUAUCAUUUUGGACUGAACUAGAUGCAUCUGCAUCCAGAUGCACCAUCAAGACUCACCUUCAUUUGGGUGAGAAUUUGAGAAGAGUUUUUAAAAAUUCAGUUGAGUGAUCCAUCUGGAUGUAGCACUAUAAUGCACAAAACGAACAUCGAUUUACAUCUUUACUCAGAUGGAUCAUCUGGGUGAGCAAACGAACAGGACCGUACUCUUGUGGAUAACUUAAAAAUUUUGAAUCUCUUUUUUAUUUUAUUUUUGAAAAUCAGGUCCCUUUUUAACACUAGUUAUGCAAAAAAAAUUUGGGACCUGGGUCCACGCCCUCCUUCCCCCUAUGCCUCAGCCGGCCCUGUUUUCUUUGAGCUGUUGUAGACUGUGUUGAAAUCUAUAUCUUUAAUUGUUAGGUUGUACAGAAAAUGGGUGAGUUUAAAGUGGUAUGGGAAAGGAAGACGAAUGAUUCUGUUGCUCUGCACGUCCUACUGGGCGAAGAUUCUGAUGAUGAUGAUGAUGAUGAUUCAUCCCGAGUCGAAGAAAAGGGAAAAGAGUUUCAAGAUGGAUCUCUUUAGAGGUGAAAGAACCAACUAUGUUCCUCGGCCAAAGUUGUGCGGUUCAAGGGAGAUUGGGUUUGUGUCAAACGGUUAUGGACUAGGAGACAGCAACUGGUCACCAUACAAGAGGGGAUCUCGGGAUGUGAAUUUAAUUUUCAUUGGAUAUAAGCGAAGAAGAUUUUGUUUUGCUUCUUCAGUGGAUGAGUUUGAUGUACCAAUUUUUGUUUCCACUGUCACGACUUUUACCAAAAAAAGCUGACCCAACUCUGAUGGAGAUCUUUAUUACGGGA
Long non-coding RNA from Brassica napus (rape), 1077 nucleotides. RefSeq lists it as uncharacterized. The record is from RefSeq and is a predicted model, not a curated record. NCBI's taxonomy places the organism in Eukaryota, Viridiplantae, Streptophyta, Magnoliopsida, Brassicales, Brassicaceae. The transcript is spliced from 2 exons.